This 75-nucleotide transfer RNA is filed under the name Promicromonospora alba. Its description in RNAcentral is "tRNA-Pro". It matches the Rfam family "tRNA". From Rfam's summary of the family: Transfer RNA (tRNA) molecules are approximately 80 nucleotides in length. Their secondary structure includes four short double-helical elements and three loops (D, anti-codon, and T loops). Further hydrogen bonds mediate the characteristic L-shaped molecular structure. tRNAs have two regions of fundamental functional importance: the anti-codon, which is responsible for specific mRNA codon recognition, and the 3' end, to which the tRNAs corresponding amino acid is attached (by aminoacyl-tRNA synthetases). tRNAs cope with the degeneracy of the genetic code in two manners: having more than one tRNA (with a specific anti-codon) for a particular amino acid; and 'wobble' base-pairing, i.e. permitting non-standard base-pairing at the 3rd anti-codon position. Lineage: Bacteria; Bacillati; Actinomycetota; Actinomycetes; Micrococcales; Promicromonosporaceae. RNAcentral also lists the same sequence under 1 other name. The record is from RNAcentral.
CGGGCUGUGGCGCAGCUUGGUAGCGCAUCUGCUUUGGGAGCAGAGGGUCGCUGGUUCGAAUCCAGUCAGCCCGAC